This 170-nucleotide non-coding RNA is filed under the name Pseudoflavonifractor capillosus. The record is from RNAcentral. RNAcentral also lists the same sequence under 1 other name. Lineage: Bacteria; Bacillati; Bacillota; Clostridia; Eubacteriales; Oscillospiraceae.
GAAUCACAUGGGUAUGCAGGUUUAUCAAAAGGGAAGCGGGUGAGAAUCCCGCACAAUGCCGUUGCUGUAUUGGCGGAGCGGUCCUCAGAUGCCACUGGCGGAGACGCCGGGAAGGCGGGGGCUGCGCUGAAUGCCUGAGUCAGAAUACCUGCCUGCAUAUGACGCACAAG